RNAcentral lists this ribosomal RNA (882 nucleotides) under Rhodotorula mucilaginosa. RNAcentral describes it as "LSU rRNA". It matches the Rfam family "Eukaryotic large subunit ribosomal RNA", at positions 35 to 939 of the family's 3401-position model. Lineage: Eukaryota; Fungi; Basidiomycota; Microbotryomycetes; Sporidiobolales; Sporidiobolaceae. The record is from RNAcentral.
UUAGCAUAUCAAUAAGCGGAGGAAAAGAAACUAACAAGGAUUCCCCUAGUAGCGGCGAGCGAAGCGGGAAGAGCUCAAAUUUAUAAUCUGGCACCUUCGGUGUCCGAGUUGUAAUCUCUAGAAAUGUUUUCCGCGUUGGACCGCACACAAGUCUGUUGGAAUACAGCGGCAUAGUGGUGAGACCCCCGUAUAUGGUGCGGACGCCCAGCGCUUUGUGAUACAUUUUCGAAGAGUCGAGUUGUUUGGGAAUGCAGCUCAAAUUGGGUGGUAAAUUCCAUCUAAAGCUAAAUAUUGGCGAGAGACCGAUAGCGAACAAGUACCGUGAGGGAAAGAUGAAAAGCACUUUGGAAAGAGAGUUAACAGUACGUGAAAUUGUUGGAAGGGAAACGCUUGAAGUCAGACUUGCUUGCCGAGCAAUCGGUUUGCAGGCCAGCAUCAGUUUUCCGGGAUGGAUAAUGGUAGAGAGAAGGUAGCAGUUUCGGCUGUGUUAUAGCUCUCUGCUGGAUACAUCUUGGGGGACUGAGGAACGCAGUGUGCCUUUGGCGGGGGUUUCGACCUCUUCACACUUAGGAUGCUGGUGGAAUGGCUUUAAACGACCCGUCUUGAAACACGGACCAAGGAGUCUAACAUGCUUGCGAGUAUUUGGGUGUCAAACCCGGAUGCGUAAUGAAAGUGAAUGGAGGUGGGAACCGCAAGGUGCACCAUCGACCGAUCUGGAUUUUUAAUGAUGGAUUUGAGUAAGAGCACGUAUGUUGGGACCCGAAAGAUGGUGAACUAUGCCUGAAUAGGGCGAAGCCAGAGGAAACUCUGGUGGAGGCUCGUAGCGGUUCUGACGUGCAAAUCGAUCGUCAAAUUUGGGUAUAGGGGCGAAAGACUAUCUAA